CCUACGGGUGGCAGCAGUGGGGAAUAUUGCACAAUGGGCGCAAGCCUGAUGCAGCCAUGCCGCGUGUGUGAAGAAGGCCUUCGGGUUGUAAAGCACUUUCAGCGGGGAGGAAGGCGUUAAGGUUAAUAACCUUGGCGAUUGACGUUACCCGCAGAAGAAGCACCGGCUAACUCCGUGCCAGCAGCCGCGGUAAUACGGAGGGUGCAAGCGUUAAUCGGAAUUACUGGGCGUAAAGCGCACGCAGGCGGUCUGUCAAGUCGGAUGUGAAAUCCCCGGGCUCAACCUGGGAACUGCAUUCGAAACUGGCAGGCUAGAGUCGUGUAGAGGGGGGUAGAAUUCCAGGUGUAGCGGUGAAAUGCGUAGAGAUCUGGAGGAAUACCGGUGGCGAAGGCGGCCCCCUGGACAAAGACUGACGCGCAGGUGCGAAAGCGUGGGGAGCAAACAGGAUUAGAUACCCGUGUAGUC
Molecule: ribosomal RNA, 465 nt
Filed under: uncultured Klebsiella sp.
Lineage: Bacteria; Pseudomonadati; Pseudomonadota; Gammaproteobacteria; Enterobacterales; Enterobacteriaceae
Description: bacterial SSU rRNA
Rfam family: Bacterial small subunit ribosomal RNA
Source: RNAcentral